UGAAGGUCUCUGCAAACUGUA
Molecule: non-coding RNA, 21 nt
Filed under: Arabidopsis thaliana (thale cress)
Lineage: Eukaryota; Viridiplantae; Streptophyta; Magnoliopsida; Brassicales; Brassicaceae
Source: RNAcentral